GCACUGGUGGUUUAGGUUGGUUCUCAAACGUCCAAUUUAACAUCGAUGGGCCCCGCGUUCGAUUCGCGGUCAGUGCA
RNAcentral lists this transfer RNA (77 nucleotides) under Verruconis gallopava. RNAcentral's name for it is "tRNA-Leu (TAA) (tRNA-Leu-TAA-1-1)". The record is from RNAcentral. Lineage: Eukaryota; Fungi; Ascomycota; Dothideomycetes; Venturiales; Sympoventuriaceae.